Molecule: ribosomal RNA, 253 nt
Filed under: uncultured bacterium
Lineage: Bacteria
Description: partial 16S ribosomal RNA
Rfam family: Bacterial small subunit ribosomal RNA
Source: RNAcentral
UACGUAGGGGGCAAGCGUUGUCCGGAAUCAUUGGGCGUAAAGCGCGUGUAGGCGGCUCGAUAAGUCUGCUGUGAAAGUCCAAGGCUCAACCUUGGGAUGCCGGUGGAUACUGUCGAGCUCGAGUCCGGAAGAGGAGUGUGGAAUUCCUGGUGUAGUGGUGAAAUGCGUAGAGAUCGGGAGGAACACCUGUGGCGAAGGCGGCCGACUGGGCCGACCCUGACGCUGAGGCGCGAAGGCGUGGGGAGCGAACGGG